GAUGAACGCUAGCGGCAGGCCUAACACAUGCAAGUCGAGGGGUAGAACACCUCGGGGUUUGAGACCGGCGCACGGGUGCGUAACGCGUAUGCAAGCUACCUUGUACAGGGGAAUAGCCCAGAGAAAUAUGGAUGAAUGCCACAUAGUAUAUAACCUUUGCAUGUUGAUUAGAUUAAAGUUCCAACGGUUCAAGAUGAGCAUGCGUCCCAUUAGUUAGUUUGUAAGGUAACGGCUUACCAAGACGAUGAUGGGGAGGGGUCCUGAGAGGGAGCUCCACCGCACUGGAACUACGACACGGACCCGAAUCCUACGGGAGGCAGCAGUGAGGAAUAUUGGUCAAUGGUCGCAAGUCUGAACCAGCCAUGCCGAGUGCGGGAAGACGGUGCUAUGGAUUGUCAACUGCUUUUAUACAGAAAGCAACCCUCCCACGUGUGGGAGCUUGACGGUACUGUAGGAAUAAGGAUCGGCUAACUCCGUGCCAGCAGCCGCCGUAA
Molecule: ribosomal RNA, 494 nt
Filed under: uncultured bacterium
Lineage: Bacteria
Description: partial 16S ribosomal RNA
Rfam family: Bacterial small subunit ribosomal RNA
Source: RNAcentral